RNAcentral lists this ribosomal RNA (443 nucleotides) under uncultured bacterium. Its description in RNAcentral is "partial 16S ribosomal RNA". It matches the Rfam family "Bacterial small subunit ribosomal RNA", at positions 338 to 795 of the family's 1533-position model. The record is from RNAcentral.
CCUACGGGUGGCAGCAGUGGGGGAUAUUGGACAAUGGGGGGAACCCUGAUCCAGCGACGCCGCGUGAGUGAAGAAGUAUUUCGGUAUGUAAAGCUCUGUCAGCAGGGAAGAAAGACAUGACGGUCCCUGACCAAGACGCCCCGGCUACUUACGUGCAAGCAGCCGCGGUAAUACGGAGGGGGCAAGCGUUAUCCGGAAUUACUGGGUGUAAAGGGAGCGUAGACGGGUAAGUAAGUCUGGAGUGAAAGGCCGGGGCCCAACCCCGGGACUGCACUGGAUACUAUUGGACUUGAGUGCAGGAGAGGGAAGCGGAAUUCCUGGUGUAGCAGUGAAAUGCGUAGAUAUUAGGAGGAACACCAGUGGCGAAGGCGGCUUACUGGACUGUAACUGACGUUGAGGCUCGAAAGCGUGGGGAGCAAACAGGAUUAGAUACCCUUGUAGUC